Molecule: unclassified non-coding RNA, 897 nt
Filed under: Globodera tabacum
Lineage: Eukaryota; Metazoa; Nematoda; Chromadorea; Rhabditida; Heteroderidae
Description: partial contains 18S rRNA, ITS1, 5.8S rRNA, ITS2, 28S rRNA
Rfam family: 5.8S ribosomal RNA (bases 534-687)
Source: RNAcentral
CCAAGUGAUACCAAUUCACCAUCUACCUGCUGUCCAGUUGAGUCAGUGUGGGCAACACCACAUGCCUCCGUUUGUUGUUGACGGACACAUGCCCGCUGUGUAUGGGCUGGCACAUUGACCAACAAUGUACGGACAGCGCCCUGUGGGCACAUGAGUGUUGGGGUGUAACCGAUGUUGGUGGCCCUAUGGGUGAGCCGACGAUUGCUGCUGUCGUCGGGUCGCUGCACCAACGGAGGAAGCACGCCCACAGGGCACCCUAACGGCUGUGCUGGCGUCUGUGCGUCGUUGAGCGGUUGUUGCGCCUUGCGCGGAUAUGCUAACAUGGAGUGUAGGCUGCUAUUCCAUGUUGUACGUGCCGUACCCCGCGGCAUAUCUGCGCUUGUGUGCUACGUCCGUGGCCGUGAUGAGACGACGUGUUAGGACCCGUGCCUGGCAUUGGCACGUGGUUUAAGACUUGAUGAGUGCCCGCAGGCACCGCCAGCUUUUUCUCAUUUUUAUUUAUUUUUUUAUGCAAUUCGAUUGCUAAAAUAUUCUAGUCUUAUCGGUGGAUCACUCGGCUCGUGGAUCGAUGAAGAACGCAGCCAACUGCGAUAAUUAGUGUGAACUGCAGAAACCUUGAACACAGAACUUUCGAAUGCACAUUGCGCCAUUGGAGUGACAUCCAUUGGCACGCCUGGUUCAGGGUCGUAACCAAAAAAUGCACUGCGUAUGCGUGUUUUAUUUGCUAAGAUCACGCUUCGGUGUGUUCUUGCAUUACCAUUGAAUGCUACGCUGUGUAGCGUUGGACGUGCUGGCGCGAAAAUGUGUUGUCAUUCGCGCUUUACAGACCGUAAUUUAGGCACGCCCUUCGUUCACGUGCGAUAGCUGAAUGCCUCGCCAAUAGGCAUUUGCAAUUGA